Molecule: ribosomal RNA, 685 nt
Filed under: Baconia guartela
Lineage: Eukaryota; Metazoa; Arthropoda; Insecta; Coleoptera; Histeridae
Description: eukaryotic LSU rRNA
Rfam family: Eukaryotic large subunit ribosomal RNA
Source: RNAcentral
AAACCGUUCAGGGGUAAACCUGAGAAACCCGAAAGUUCGAAAGGAGAGAUUCAUCGCGACUCGCGUUUCGUCGUCGAGUUUGCGUACGGACGUCUCGGUGCGCAAGCAUUCGUGGCGCCGAACGCAAUCACGUAACUGACGUGCGAUCGCGUGCACUUCUCUCCCUGUAGGACGUCGCGACCCGUUGGGUGUCGGUCUACGAGCGACGGUGGAGACCACAAAGCGGGGUCGUCUCAAAAACGAUCCGUCUUGACUUUGUGGACCCGUCGUUUCCGGCCGACUCGCUCGACGGUAGUCAAAGAGGGCGCGGGGCCGCGACUUAGUUCGCGUUCGACCCGUCGCAAGCGAUGUUCGGUAAUCUGGUGUACUCGGCGGCCUCGUGUCUCCGGUCCUGGAUCCGAACUACUGUUGGCGGCGUGGUUCUCGGACAGACUCCGUAUACACGCCUGUCGGCGACGAUCACGUUUUGGGUACUUUCAGGACCCGUCUUGAAACACGGACCAAGGAGUCUAGCAUGCACGCAAGUCUUAGGGACUAGUUUUGACGAAUCCUAAAGGCGAAAUGAAAGUGAAGGUCCGCCUACGCGCGCGACCCAGGGAAGAUGAGAAGCUUUAACCGGCGACUCCGCACUCCCGGGGCGUCUCGAUCUCAUCGCGAGAUGAGGCGCACCCAGAGCGUGCACGCU